GAAUGGAAAGGUAUUAUGAUCCACGCUCAGUAGGGCCCACAAGAUCCAUGUGCUCAUUGGCUGGUCCGCACACAUCCUCGGGCGAGUCGAAACUUUAUCCCGUGGGUCCCGCUAUGUCCGACCCUUAGUGCCCCGGGUCGGGCGAGGCGGAGCCCUGCCUCGAGGGGUCGGGCGCAUCUGACCUCGUGACCCUGGGUCGGGCCAAGUUUUGGAUAGACCCAAAAGAGCGGAAACUUUGCGUGCGGUCACAGCACAAAUUCUCAGACAUCUUUGACAUUCAAGGCGUGUCCCAAAGGGUCAGAAGUGGAUUCAAGAGCGAGGUGGAAAAUAGGAACUGAUUUCACCAAAAUCAUUUCAUUACUGGUCUCUUAACACAGGAGGAGUACUCAACUCAAGGCUAAACUAUUACAUCACUAUCCAAAAGUAUAGGUUGCCGAGGAG
Molecule: long non-coding RNA, 441 nt
Filed under: Setaria viridis
Lineage: Eukaryota; Viridiplantae; Streptophyta; Magnoliopsida; Poales; Poaceae
Description: long non-coding RNA (SVIR_LNC004474)
Source: RNAcentral